Molecule: ribosomal RNA, 457 nt
Filed under: Clostridioides difficile
Lineage: Bacteria; Bacillati; Bacillota; Clostridia; Peptostreptococcales; Peptostreptococcaceae
Description: bacterial SSU rRNA
Rfam family: Bacterial small subunit ribosomal RNA
Source: RNAcentral
GACGUGCGGGAAAUUAGUGCAAGGUGGUGCAGCGUGGUCGUCAGCUCGUGUCGUGAGUUGGUGGGUUAAGUCAAGCAACGUGCGCGACCCUUGUCUUUAGUUGCCAGCAUUAAGUGGGGCACUCUAGAGAGACUGCCAGGGAUAACCGGGAGGAAGGUGGGGAUGACGUCAAAUCAUCAUGCCCCUUAUGCUUAGGGCUACACACGUGCUACAAUGGGUAGUACAGAGGGUUGCCAAGCCGUAAGGUGGAGCUAAUCCCUUAAAGCUAUUCUCAGUUCGGAUUGUAGGCUGAAACUCGCCUCCAUGAAGCUGGAGUUACUAGUAAUCGCAGGUCAGAAUGCUGCGGUGAAUGCGUUCCCGGGUCUUGUACACACCGCCCGUCACACCACGGGAGUUGGAGACGCCCGAAGCCGAUUAUCUAACCUUUUGGAAGAAGUCGUCGAAGGUGGAAUCAAUA